This is a long non-coding RNA of Ipomoea nil (Japanese morning glory), 139 nucleotides long. RefSeq lists it as uncharacterized. The record is from RefSeq and is a predicted model, not a curated record. The transcript is spliced from 3 exons. Lineage: Eukaryota; Viridiplantae; Streptophyta; Magnoliopsida; Solanales; Convolvulaceae.
AAUAAAUAAGUAUUAACUUAAGCUUUUACCUAAUAAGCUCUUUGAAUAGCCUAUGAUGAAAAUGAUGCAUGUUUUUGUCAACUCUUAGUGUGUAUAUUGCAUGUGACUAGUUGUUAAUUUCUUUAUUUUCAUAUUUUAA